Molecule: ribosomal RNA, 407 nt
Filed under: uncultured eukaryote
Lineage: Eukaryota
Description: bacterial SSU rRNA
Rfam family: Eukaryotic small subunit ribosomal RNA
Source: RNAcentral
CAAUAGCGUAUAUUAAAGUUGUUGCAGUUAAAAGCUCGUAGUUGGAUAUCAGAACUCGUGGAAUUGGCCCGUCGCCUUUGUGUGAUUGAGUGCUAGUGAAGCGGUUCUUUCUUUUCCGAGAAGGUGCUCUCCCUUUAAUUAGUGGUGGAGUUUUCCAACUUGGAUCUGUUACCUUGAAUAAAUUAGAGUGUUCAAAGCAAGCUUACGCUGUGAAUAUUUUAGCAUGGAAUAACGACAUAGGACUUUGUUGUCUAUUUCGUUGGUUUCUAGACUCGAAGUAAUGAUUAAUAGGACAGUUGGGGGUAGUUCGUAUUUCGUUGUCAGAGGUGAAAUUCUUGGAUUUCCGAAAGACGAACUACUGCGAAAGCAUUUACCAAGGAUGUUUUCAUUAAUCAAGAACGAAAGUU